This 253-nucleotide ribosomal RNA is filed under the name uncultured bacterium. RNAcentral's name for it is "partial 16S ribosomal RNA". It matches the Rfam family "Bacterial small subunit ribosomal RNA", at positions 524 to 776 of the family's 1533-position model. The record is from RNAcentral.
UACGUAGGGUGCAGGCGUUAAUCGGAAUUACUGGGCGUAAAGCGUGCGCAGGCGGUUUGUUAAGACAGGUGUGAAAUCCCCGGGCUUAACUUGGGAACUGCGCUUGUUACUGGCAGACUUGAGUGUGGCAGAGGGGGGUGGAAUUCCAGGUGUAGCAGUGAAAUGCGUAGAUAUCAGGAGGAAUACCGAUGGCGAAGGCAGGUCUCUGGGUUAACACUGACGCUCAUGCACGAAAGCGUGGGGAGCAAACAGG